UGGGGAAUAUUGGACAAUGGGCGAAAGCCUGAUCCAGCGAUGCCGCGUGAGUGAUGAAGGCCUUAGGGUUGUAAAACUCUUUCGAUGGUGGAGAUAAUGACGGUAACCAUUAAAGAAGUCCCGGCUAAUUUCGUGCCAGCAGCCGCGGUAAUACGAAAGGGACUAGCGUUGUUCGGAAUUACUGGGCGUAAAGCGCAAGUAGGCGGUUUGCUAAGUUAGGGGUGAAAUCCCGGAGCUCAACUCCGGAACUGCCUCUAAAACUGGUAGGCUUGAGGAUGUGAGAGGAUAGUGGAAUUCCGAGUGUAGAGGUGAAAUUCGUAGAUAUUCGGAAGAACACCAGUGGCGAAGGCGACUGUCUGGCACAUUUCUGACGCUGAGAUGCGAAAGCGUGGGGAGCAAACAGG
RNAcentral lists this ribosomal RNA (404 nucleotides) under uncultured prokaryote. Its description in RNAcentral is "bacterial SSU rRNA". It matches the Rfam family "Bacterial small subunit ribosomal RNA", at positions 355 to 776 of the family's 1533-position model. The record is from RNAcentral.